CCUACGGGUGGCAGCAGUGAGGAAUAUUGGUCAAUGGGCGCGAGCCUGAACCAGCCAAGUCGCGUGAGGGAUGACGGUUCUAUGGGUCGUAAACUUCUUUUAUAAGGGAAUAAAGUGAGGCACGUGUCCUAUUUUGUAUGUACCUUAUGAAUAAGGAUCGGCUAACUCCGUGCCAGCAGCCGCGGUAAUACGGAGGAUCCGAGCGUUAUCCGGAUUUAUUGGGUUUAAAGGGUGCGUAGGCGGCCUGUUAAGUCAGUGGUGAAAGUCUGCGGCUCAACCAUAAAAUUGCAGUUGAUACUGGGGGGCUUGAGUAUGUUUGAGGCAGGCGGAAUUCGUGGUGUAGCGGUGAAAUGCUUAGAUAUCACGCAGAACCCCGAUUGCGAAGGCAGCCUGCCAAGCCAUGACUGACGCUGAUGCACGAAAGUGUGGGGAUCAAACAGGAUUAGAUACCCGAGUAGUC
Molecule: ribosomal RNA, 460 nt
Filed under: uncultured bacterium
Lineage: Bacteria
Description: partial 16S ribosomal RNA
Rfam family: Bacterial small subunit ribosomal RNA
Source: RNAcentral